CAGCAGCUCUUCUUGUUCUUUGAUGAAUUUUGGCCCAAAAUAAUUAAUUAUUCUAGCCUAUUGUAUUUUCCAUAGAACUAGCCCACAAUCUUUGCACCAAAUUAGAAAUUGACCCAACUCUAAUUAAAUUAGUGGCCCAACUAUUAUUCAGAAAAAGAGUAGCCCAAAUUCUAGGAUUAAAUCAACCCAUAUACUCCCUUCUUCUUUCUUUCCCCAACAAAAACGCAGCACCGCCAUGAAUCCGCCGCCGCCUCCUCCCUCCAUAAUCUUCCCCCUCUCCCUUUUCUCUCUCGUUUCUCUGAUCUGUCGUCGUUGCCCCCCUCUCUCCCGAUCUGUCCGCUCUUAUUUGUAAAGGUCUUGAAAUCACUGAAUCGGUGACAUAUCGGGGCUGUGGGGCUGUCCUCGUGUCGAUGGGGUGCCUAAGUCCAUACGCCGGAAUCCGGCAGAUUCAUACUCAAGAGAUAAGAUUCUUAACUUGUGCUUACUUGGUUUGUCUAUUAUAUGACUUUGGUGAAUUGUAAGUAUGUUAUGUGCCUUGCUAUUUGGGGGAUUCAACGAAGGAAUAUGUUGUUAAACUUGUUAUAGCAGAUUCUACUUUCAAAUUACAUGUAUAUGCUUGUACAUACAUUAAAGAAAAGAGAGGUUUGGGAUUUACCAGAAGUUGUGUUAAGGAAUUGGAAUUGAAUUUGCUCUUAAAAAAAAAAGGAACUUUCUUUAAUAUGCUGUCUCUAGUUUUUGAUUUCUUGGUAUUUGAUGGAAGAAAGUGGUGAAGGAAAUUGUGGACGAAGAAUGAUAUGUAUAUAUUGUUGGGACACUUCUGGGAUUAUAUUUGUGAGUUAGUGUGCAGGAGGUGGUCUAAUCAAAGCAGGAGGUGGAGGUGGGGGAUAACUACGUGGCUUGAGGAGGGGAGAGUAAACAAGCAGGAAUUAAUCAAGCAGGAAGAAGUAGGAGAGCUAUCUCAACUUAUGUAAAGAGGGACCUUUGGGCUCCAAGACUAAAUUAUUUUGGUGAUUUGGGUUUUCCAAGAAUGAGCUCCAAAAUGAUGUAAUUUUUCUUUUUAAUUUAGGCCCACAAGAAAUAAAUUCUUUUAGUAAUAUUUGAAAAUUCGUUGGAGAAUAAAACAACAACAACUAUUCUAUA
This is a long non-coding RNA of Salvia hispanica, 1140 nucleotides long. RefSeq lists it as uncharacterized. Lineage: Eukaryota; Viridiplantae; Streptophyta; Magnoliopsida; Lamiales; Lamiaceae. The record is from RefSeq and is a predicted model, not a curated record.